RNAcentral lists this long non-coding RNA (1557 nucleotides) under Olea europaea subsp. europaea. Lineage: Eukaryota; Viridiplantae; Streptophyta; Magnoliopsida; Lamiales; Oleaceae. The record is from RNAcentral.
GAGGUUUACCACAUGCUCAUUUUUUAAUCAUUUUAGACCGUGCAUCCAAAAUCAUUGCUCCUGAAUCUGUAGAUAAAUUUGUCAGUGCUGAAAUUCCAGAUAGACAAACUUACCCUCAUUUAUACUCUGUUGUUGUUGCUCACAUGAUACAUAGUCCUUAAGGCAUUUUAAAUCAAACAAAUGUAAGCAUGAAUAGAAAUAAAAAUGCAGAAGUCAUUUCCCAAAGGAUUAUGCCCCAAAGACAUUGUUAGGUGAACUUUCAUAUCCAACGCAUAGACGUUUAAAUAAUGGGAGAAAAGUGAAAGUUAGAGGACAAUGAUUAGAUAACAGAUGGAUUGUGCCUUACAAUCCAUAUCUCUUGGCUAAACUUAAUUGCCAUAUAAAUGUAGAAAUUUGUUCAACCAUCAAAGCUGUGAAAUAUUUGUAUAAAUAUGUAUACAAGGGACAUGAUAGAAUUGGUUUCUCAGUGCAUUCUGAGGAAGAUGUGGUUGACGAGAUUAAAAAUUUUCAGACAGCUAAAUGGAUUUCACCUCCUGAAGCAUUAUGGAGAAUUUUUGGUUUUAUUCUUUCAAAAUUAAAUACUCCAGUUGUUACUCUUCAAUUACACCUCGAAAAUAAUAAUUUCGUUACAUACAAAAGUUCCAACAAUCUUGAGAAAAUUAUAAGAACAGACUUUUUCAAAAAAACCAUGUUAACGGAAUUUUUUCACAUGAAUAUUGUUGACAAAAAAGCUACGACUCUUUUAUAUAAACAAUUUUCAGAAUUUUUUGUUUGGGACUCACAUCGUAAAUGUUGGAGCCCUAGAAAAAAAAGGUGUUUGUGUUGGUAGAGUAGUAGCAGCAAGUCCAAAUGAAGGGGAAAGAUAUUACUUGCGUCUUUUGUUAAAUCAUAUUAGAGGCGCAACGUCAUAUCGAGCUUUAAAAAUUGUAAAUGGUGUUGAAACAUCGUCUUUUCGGGAAGCGACACUUUUACAUAGUUUACUUAAUGGAGAUGCUAAUUGUGAUUUAUGUUUGCAGGAAGCUUCAAAGUAUCAAACGCCUACUCCAUUUCGUCGUCUUUUAGCAACAAUUCUAACUCUAUGUGCUCCGAAUGAUCCAAAAAAUCUGUGGAACAAAUUCAAAAUUUUUAUGAUUGAGGAUUUCAUACGUGCUGGUAUGUCGUUGCAAAUUGCUGAACUUAAAGCUCUUUUAGAAAUUAAUGCAACUUUAGAACUUUCUGGUAAAUCCAUUAAUAGUUACACUUUUGUAUCAUAUAACGUACAUCUACAUGAAAAUGAACACGUCGCUAGAGUAAUAAAUGAUGAAAUAAGCAUUAAUGUGUCAGAAAUAGAUAUUAUGUGUCAUCGUCAACUUAAUACUGAACAAAAAAUGGCAUAUAAUGCAAUUUUAAGUAAAGUAGACACUAAUGUUAGUGGCAUGUUCUUUGUUGAUGGUCCUGGUGGAACAGGCAAAACCUUUUUAUACCGUGCAUUACUAGGUACUGUGAGGUCAAGACAAUUGAUUGCUUUAGCAACAACCUCCUCUGGUGUUGCAGCUGGUCUUUUGCCUGGUGGACAAA